AGAACGAACGCUGGCGGCGUGUUUAAGACAUGCAAGUCGCACGGGACUAUUUGAGUAGCAAUACAAGAAUAGUUUAGUGGCGCACGGGUGAGUAACACGUGAAUUACAUGCCCUGCAGAGGGGAUAGCCCAGGGAACUUGGAUUAAUACCCCAUGGUAUCGCGAGAUUAAAGGUGGCCGCAAGGCUGUCGCUGCAGGAUUGGUUCGCGCCCUAUCAGCUUGUUGGUGAGGUAACGGCUCACCAAGGCUACGACGGGUACCUGGUCUGAGAGGACGAUCAGGCACACUGGAACUGAGACACGGUCCAGACACCUACGGGUGGCAGCAGUCGAGAAUAAUUCACAAUGGGGGCAACCCUGAUGGUGCAACGCCGCGUGGAGGAUGAAGGUCUUCGGAUUGUAAACUCCUGUCAUCCGGGAGUAAGACCUGGCGAUGAAUAGUCGACAGGGUUGAUAGUACCGGAAGAGGAAGGGACGGCUAACUUCGUG
This 487-nucleotide ribosomal RNA is filed under the name uncultured bacterium. RNAcentral's name for it is "bacterial SSU rRNA". It matches the Rfam family "Bacterial small subunit ribosomal RNA", at positions 26 to 507 of the family's 1533-position model. The record is from RNAcentral.